RNAcentral lists this ribosomal RNA (253 nucleotides) under uncultured bacterium. RNAcentral's name for it is "partial 16S ribosomal RNA". It matches the Rfam family "Bacterial small subunit ribosomal RNA", at positions 524 to 776 of the family's 1533-position model. The record is from RNAcentral.
UACGGAGAGUGCAAGCAUUGAUCGGAAUUAUUGGGCGUAAAGGGCGCGUAGGCGGGAUAGUAAGUCAGAUGUGAAAUACUGAAGCUCAACCUCAGUGCUGCAUUUGAAACUGCCAUUCUUGAGGGUUGACGGAGAAAACGGAAUUCCACGUGUAGCGGUGAAAUGCGUAGAUAUGUGGAAGAACACCUGUGGCGAAAGCGGUUUUCUAGUUGAUACCUGACGCUGGGGCGCGAGAGCAAGGGGAGCAAACAGG